RNAcentral lists this ribosomal RNA (467 nucleotides) under uncultured bacterium. RNAcentral's name for it is "partial 16S ribosomal RNA". It matches the Rfam family "Bacterial small subunit ribosomal RNA", at positions 28 to 507 of the family's 1533-position model. The record is from RNAcentral.
GACGAACGCUGGCGGCGUGCUUAACACAUGCAAGUCGAACGGAAAGGCCCUGCUUUUGUGGGGUGCUCGAGUGGCGAACGGGUGAGUAACACGUGAGUAACCUGCCUUGACUUUGGGAUAACUUCAGGAAACUGGGGCUAAUACCGGAUAGGAGCUCCUGCUGCAUGGUGGGGGUUGGAAAGUUUCGGCGGUUGGGGAUGGACUCGCGGCUUAUCAGCUUGUUGGUGGGGUAGUGGCUUACCAAGGCUUUGACGGGUAGCCGGCCUGAGAGGGUGACCGGCCACAUUGGGACUGAGAUACAGCCCAGACUCCUACGGGAGGCAGCAGUGGGGAAUAUUGCACAAUGGGCGGAAGCCUGAUGCAGCAACGCCGCGUGCGGGAUGACGGCCUUCGGGUUGUAAACCGCUUUCGCCUGUGACGAAGCGUGAGUGACGGUAAUGGGUAAAGAAGCACCGGCUAACUACGUG